GGCUAUAGCUCAGUUGGUAGAGCCCUGGAUUGUGAUUCCAGUUGUUGGUAGCGCAACUGGUUUGGGACCAGUGGGUCGGAGGUUCGAAUCCUCUCUCGCCG
RNAcentral lists this transfer RNA (101 nucleotides) under Klebsiella pneumoniae. RNAcentral describes it as "tRNA-His". The stretch from base 6 to 94 matches the Rfam family "tRNA", at positions 8 to 63 of the family's 71-position model. Rfam says of the family: Transfer RNA (tRNA) molecules are approximately 80 nucleotides in length. The record is from RNAcentral. Lineage: Bacteria; Pseudomonadati; Pseudomonadota; Gammaproteobacteria; Enterobacterales; Enterobacteriaceae.